Papio anubis (olive baboon) is the source of this 4264-nucleotide long non-coding RNA. The record is from Ensembl. Lineage: Eukaryota; Metazoa; Chordata; Mammalia; Primates; Cercopithecidae.
GACUCUCACAUUCAUGCUGUGAACAGGCUAUAUAAGCACAAGUUCAAUCUAUACGAAGAGCGAACAGCCACCCGCUGGCCAGUCCUCUGCCUGCCUUUGGGAGGUGGGACCCAAGGAAGAGCUGGUACAGAUGUUUGACUCAAACUUGGAGCCAUUGGAGCAGGGACCUGUAGAAUCCCAGGUAGAGCCUGGACACCUGUCAUUAUUUCAGUCCUGCCCAGGUGAUUCUCUUGUACAGCCAUGGCUGAGGUCCACUGAUUGUGACAGAAGCUGUCCUUUAAAGAAUUGCUUUCUGACCUCCUCCUCUUUCAACCUACAACACCUGCUGAAUGAAGUGGCCUGUACUCCUUUCCUGUCCCCAUAUAGACACUGGAACUUUUUGUGUGCAGGAGAGCAGGACUGAAAAGCUUUGGCUGGAAGGUUUGUAGCAGCCUGCUUGUUGAAUUGCCAUGGAUCAACAAUUUCUCAAUGAGAAGAAGAUAGAUGAGAAGAUAAAGUAUCUGGUAACUGUAAAGCUUCAAGCAGGAACUCAAGAAGAUUUUUAGAACACCUGGUCGGAAUUUAUUUUUUUUAGGUAAGCAUCCCCUUUUACAACCAGCAUACAUAAAGCAUUAAAUUGGCUUACCCCACCCCUUCCUAACAAGAGAGAAGCUGGUUAGAUUUAUUACUCCUUUGAUACAGGUCUGGAGGGAGAGUGAAGUGGCAUGUGGAAUUCCCAUGAAGGCCUCCCUUAAAAUCUUUAGGACUCCUUUUAGAUAGAAUGUUUGUCUUCAAUUUCUAACUCAUUUUUAAGAAUCUGUCUAGAUUGAGAUUGUGAAAGAUCAUUAACAAAAAUAAAAAUAGAUAAUGUUUCUGGAUUUUUUCUGUAAUAUUUAUGUCCAAAGAAGGGAUAUCAUCAACACAAAACUUUUUAUUCUCUUAUUUUUAAAAUUGGUUUUUGUGUAACUGGCUCAUUCUCUUGCUUGGUUAAAUUUAAAAUUUAUUUUCCUUUGACAAUAAAGGCCGAGUUAAUUGUUCUGUGUCUGCCUUCAUUUUGUGUGUCCAUAACAACCCCCAAACACCAAACUGCAUUGUUCUUAUAAUAUGGAAGAUUAUAACUAACAGGUUUCAUAAUACUUUUUUUAAAGAUACAGCAUACCCGACCAAUCGAACCAAAUAACCAGUUAUUUCAAGAUUGUAUGAAUAUACUGCAGAAGGGGAGCUGAUUUCAAAUUAGUGUUUUCAAGUUCAUGGCAAAAUUUUAACACUUAUGUUAGAAGAGUAUAUUUCAUUUAAUGAUGUUGCUUACAUGACAUUGUGUUCAUAUUAUUAUCCAUGCUAGAAUAAUUUGAAAUAAAUCUCACUUUUUGAAAUGUACACUAUUCAUAUUUAUUCUGUAGCAUCCUAAGUGCUUUAAAUAUUCAUCUAUAGUAAAAAAUGUGCUUUGAAACCAAUGUAUAUAAAAGGAAAAUUUUCUAAUUUAUGAUUUUCAAUGGGCUUAGUUACUUCCCACGUACCUAAGCUGUCCUUUACUAAACAACUAUGCAAUCAGAUGAUUUACAAACAUUCUUGUAUUUCUAUUAUUCUUUAGCUUUUAAAAUAGUUCUGAAUAUUAGCUGUGGCUUACAUAAAACUUAGCCUUGUAAUAAAUGUGAUCUAUUAUUUAUGCAAGACUUUCAGUGAUAUUAUGAAACAGAAUGUUUAGAAACUUUUUACAUUCCAGGAGGGAAUGAAAUUGGUUGGAGAUACAUCCAAGCAGAGUUAAAACUAGUUCAGGAGCAAAUAAAAGCUUAGCAAGUCAAAGGAAAUUUUGGGGUACAAUUAAUUUUUACUGUCAUCUCUAGGUAUGCUAUAAAUUUGUAUUAAAAUAAUUAAGAUUAAACUGUAGGGAAACAAUCUGGAGUCUUUACAUUUCAUUCAAAAGACAAACAAAAAAUCGAAUCAAUGGAGACGAUUAUUAUUAUUUUUUUACCUAUAGCUAUAUCCAGAUAGGGAGAAAAACAACCCCACCUUAUAUAGUUAGUACACUCAAUUCAGGAACCACCAUUUUUGUGUAUUAGUCAGUUUCUCUUCUUUCCUUGUUCCCCCACAGUGCCCUGCCUGCCUUGGUCAUUUCACUGUUCAUUAGCAUCUCACCAGAAGAGGAAAGAAAAAAAAGAGGAGUUGAAAUUAAGCAAUCAACUUUGUUACUUGUUUAAAAAGGUGGCAAAGAGGUUGAGUAGAAGUUAGAAGAGUUAAAAAUAUAUUUUUAAAUUGUCAAUGUGUUUUAGCAGCCUAUGCUAGGCCUGUUAAUAUUAGAACUAAUUAGUUAGCCAAGUUACAAUGCAUCUCUACAGUAGAUAAUCAGCACUGUCACCAAGUCCACUGUCUCUGGGGUUACAGAAGGCCUGGCUGAUGUAUAUCUGGCAUUUAGAAACAGAAGUCAGAAUGAAUCUUUUUUUUUUUUUUUAAUGAAAUAAGGGGGGUUAGGUAAUGAUUUCUAUUGUGGAAAGAGCUAAAAAAUUAUGUUUGUUAAAGAUAUUUGUCAAAGGAUAAAGAUGUUUACUUAUGUACUUGUACCUGUGGCUUUUUUAAUUUACUAAAUUAAACUUCAAUUUUAAAAGAAGUAAAAGAUACAGAUAUGUCUCAGAGAAAUAGAAGAUACUGUAGGGUGGCCUGAAUUCCAUAUUCUGAAACUCAAGAAGAGCAAAGUCACAGAAUGCUGAAAAAUUCAGGAGUAGUUUGGUUUUAUCUCACCUCCAUCUUUUUUUUCCUUUUCAGAGAAAUGACAAAAGUUUGCUUCUCAAUCCCUUCUGUAAAAGCCCAAUUGGGCCGGGUUUGGUGGCUCACGCCUGUAAUCUCAGCACUUUGGGAGGCCGAGGCGGGCAGAUAACGAGGUCAGGAGACCAUCCUGGCCAACAUGGUGAAACUCCAUCUCUACUGAAAAUACAAAAAAUUAGCUGGGCGUGGUGGCGCGCGCCUGUUGUCCCAGCUACCCAGGAGACUGAAGCAGGAGAAUCGCUGGAAUCCAGGAGGCGGAGAUUGCAGUGAGCCGAGAUCUCGCCAUUGCACUCCAGCCUGGGCGACAGAGCCAAAAAAAAAAAAAAAAAAAAAAAAAAAAAAAAAAGGAAGAAGAAAGAAAAGGGAACAAAGGCUCAAAACACUGAAACUAAGAGCCAGAUGGUUAUUUCAAAUAUGCAGGACAAGAGGGAGCCCACAUAACCAUUUGGGAAAGAUCCUUUUAGGGCUCCCAGAACUGAGGAAAUCAGGUGGUACCACUUUGAGUACAGUAUUUGACAUGAAUGAGUCACUGGAGAGCCACUUUUGGUAAGUUUAGGAAUCAAAGAAAAAAGUCGCUCCGCUGCAGAUUGAUCCAUUUUUUUUUUCAGGGAUAAACAGCAGAUUAUGGCUUCGGAGUCUGGGCUGUCCUUUAUUGGAGGGCACGAUGCACCAUAGAUUUUUAUUUUCACGAAACAGACUCCAGAGGUUUGUGGCCUUCCAGACAGCAGCUGGCACCGGGCAGAGGCACAGACUACGGCCUGAGCUGCUGGCGACUGCCUCGCGCUUGGCCGUGCGUCCCUGGCUGCGCUGGCCAGCACCGCAGCCAGAGAGCUUCCCAUUCCGGGAAGGAGGGGCUGUUCCUCCUUAUAUUUGGGGGAAAGUAGCUGGUUUGAAGGAAAGGAGGGAUUAAGUUUGUAAAAGCGUUGGCUCCUCCUUAUAACUCUGGUGCCUAAUGGGGAUGAGAUGAUAGCCAAAUAAAACGAAGAGAGAUGACCCCGUUUUGAGUGAGGAGGAUUUCUGGAUAAGCCGGCGAUGUGUCCUGCAACUGUCGAUUUGGCAGAUUUGACUCAAUCAACUGCCAGUUGGUUCCCACUUCAAACACACCUCCCUCAGCCUACCGCUCUGACCAGCUCCCCAGACUCGGGGUGGGGAGCGAGCAGAACAAGAGAAUCAAAAGUCAGCCUUCUUUUGGUCUCUGCUCCUGCACAACUGGUUUGGUUCUGAGCAGGCUGAUGUUUGAGAGGAAAAGCCAGGACUGCUUGGGCUCUUUGGCGGGAUUUGAGUGUGUGUGCUGGGAGUGGGGAGGGUAGAAUGAGGUGGGAGCAGAGUUAGGCUGAGUACUGAGCGAAGCCCCUUAUUUUGCGUCCCAGCUGCCCUUCCCGUCCCCAGCGCCCAGCCCCCGCCGCGGCUGGGUGAAGAGGAGGGGGCGAGGAGGGCGCAGGGCGUGGGGGACGCCCAGCAGCGCCUCGCGCCCGCGGUGGCGGAGGGGCUGUCUCUUUAAGCGCUCCGGAGGGGCUGGGGCGGG